RNAcentral lists this long non-coding RNA (223 nucleotides) under Actinidia chinensis (golden kiwifruit). Its description in RNAcentral is "long non-coding RNA (ACHI_LNC004737)". The record is from RNAcentral. Lineage: Eukaryota; Viridiplantae; Streptophyta; Magnoliopsida; Ericales; Actinidiaceae.
GAAUCUUUGCCGUAGGCUCCUCAAACAAGAGAAAUGUUACAUUUACAUCAAAACUUUUACAACAUUUUUAAUAACGCCACCGCUUUGAAAAAUAAAAUAAAAUCCCCAUCUCUCUCCUCCUUCUCCGUUUCUUUCUCCUUCCCGUCCCCAACUCUCUCUAUCUAGGACUCCUCUCUACCCUUUCCACUCUCUCUCCCCUCCGCCAUCCUACGUCCCUGAUUUG